AUACUGCAAGUCGAACGCGCGGAUCAGGAGCUUGCUCUGUGACGCGAGUGGCGGACGGGUGAGUAACACGUAGGCAACCUGCCCAUCAGACUGGGAUAACCACGGGAAACCGUGGCUAAUACCGGAUAAUCCUUUUCCACACAGGUGGAAAGUUGAAAGGCGGCCUUUUGGCUGCACUGAUGGAUGGGCCUGCGGCGCAUUACUGGUUGGUGGGGUAACGGCCCACCAGGCGACGAUGCGUACCGACCUGAGAGGGUGAUCGGCCACACUGGGACUGAGACACGGCCCAACUCCUACGGGAGGCAGCAGUAGGGAAUCUUCCGCAAUGGACGAAAGUCUGACGGAGCAACGCCGCGUGAGUGAAGAAGGGUUUCGGCUCUAAAACUCUGUUGUCAGGGAAGAACGCCGACGGGAGUAACUGCCCGUCGGGUGACGGUACCUGACCAGAAAGCCACGGCUAACUACGUGCCAGCAGCCGCGGUAAUACGUAGGUGGCAAGCGUUAUCCGGAAUUAUUGGGCGUAAAGCGCGCGUAGGCGGUUCGUUAAGUCUGAUGUGAAAGCCCCCGGCUCAACCGGGGAGGGUCAUUGGAAACUGGCGGACUUGAGGCAAAGAGAGAGU
Molecule: ribosomal RNA, 620 nt
Filed under: Salinicoccus roseus
Lineage: Bacteria; Bacillati; Bacillota; Bacilli; Caryophanales; Staphylococcaceae
Description: bacterial SSU rRNA
Rfam family: Bacterial small subunit ribosomal RNA
Source: RNAcentral